This 499-nucleotide ribosomal RNA is filed under the name uncultured bacterium. RNAcentral describes it as "partial 16S ribosomal RNA". The record is from RNAcentral.
ACACUGUUCAUGGGUUACCGCGGCUGCUGGCACGGAGUUAGCCGGUGCUUCUUCUGUGAGUGAUGUCCUUCCUGCCGGUUAUUGACCCGCAGGCCUUCUCCUCACUGAAAGUGCUUUACAACCCGAAGGCCUUCUUCACACACGCGGCAUGGCUGGAUCAGGGUUGCCCCCAUUGUCCAAUAUUCCCCACUGCUGCCUCCCGUAGGAGUCUGGGCCGUGUCUCAGUCCCAGUGUGGCUGAUCAUCCUCUCAGACCAGCUACGGAUCGUCGCCUUGGUGAGCCGUUACCUCACCAACCAGCUAAUCCGACAUAGGCUCAUCCGAUAGCGCGAGGCCCGAAGGUCCCCCGCUUUCCCCCGUAGGGCGUAUGCGGUAUUAGCCCUGGGUUUCCCCAGGUUAUCCCCGACUACCGGGCAGAUUCCUAUGCAUUACUCACCCGUCGCCGCUCGCCACCNGGGAGCAAGCUCCCCGUGCUGCCGCUCGACUUGCAUGUCGUUAGG